GAAGAGUGAGACACUCUGUCACCAAACAAAACAUUCAACUGUGGCGUCAUUGGGCCGCACCCCAGAUGUUUUUGAUCCAGCCCCAAACAUUUUGAGAGGUGGACCGCUCACGUCCCUUGAGCCGUCCCUCACCCCUACAGCACCGGUUAGAUGUCAAUGUCAUCACUCAGCAAAACGCCUGUCACUCAGUCAGAGUCUGCAGCAUAGCACAGAGCAAAUACGGACCGGAUGAGAGAGGAGAGCAGUCAAGAGACAGCAACAGACGACACAGAGAAAACGAUGGAGAGAGGCAGAGGAGGGGUCAGAAAGCUGUUUGAAAGGCGAUCCCGUAAUGACGACAUCUGUUUUCAUAUGGUCGUUGACACGUAGCACCCGAAAUCAGACGUCAUCCUGUCCAAACCCACGGCUGCCAGACAGCAUUCCAACCUCUGAUUGGUUCUGACAAGCCCCUGACAGCUCUGGAGGUGAGGAGGGCAAGUGACAAAGGGCAAGCAGGGGAUGAGCCAACCAAAUCAGGGUAUACGCCCCCCCCCCCCCCCCCCCCCCCCCAUACAUGAGACAAAUCAGAGACGCUUCAACGUGAGUGUGUGACAGAAAAAGAUAGGUUAAAGAGUUGAAAAAUAAUUGUUAUUUAGUAUUUAUCAGAACAAAGGGAACUCUCACUGCCUCAUAUUUAAAGUAUACAACCUCCUUGUUGUUGUAGCACGGGUGGCUAAAUGUAGCAUGUAGGUUCUGUGUCUGGUGGAUGAUGUUGUGAAUUUAAAGGGGCACCACCUGCCGUGAUAGAUAUCAGGGUCUUGUAUCGCCGCGCAGACAGCUGAGCACUUCAGGUGCCAAAGAGCCUUCCAUGACAUUGAGCGUUAAGCAGAUUUUUGCCAGCAGUUCCAUUUGAUCACUUCUCCCUCUCUCAGACCCAUACGGAAUCAUCCACUCGAUAUAAGCACGAUUUAUUCAACUUCUUGAUGAAGAAAGACAUGCUCAAAUGUGCCAUGAUUGAAGAGACUUGUGAUUUAGAACAAUGACACCUAACUUAAAAGACCAUUCGAUCACAUCUGUAACAUUCCUGUUGUAAAGAACGUGGAUAGUGUGUGUCAGUCUUGGGUUCUCAGGGCAAAGCGGAUGGAGGUUGUGUUGUUCUCAUGUGGACCAGUCGGCAGUGUGACCUUGCAUUAGUGCAUAUGCUCACAGCAGGGUUACUGGUUGGGGGCAUGAUCUGUCAGCCUUUGUUUAUGAAGCUCACACAGCACAGGACUGUAAGAUAACAUAUUUGAUGUAAUUAGUGGUCAGUAAUAACACACUAUAAGCGUCAGGAGAAAGAGUGUUUGGUUUUGGAGCAGUUGUUUAGAUUUUUUGUAGUAUGUUAUUUUUGUGAUAAUAUUUGUUUUAAUAUGUCUGCUGAUGUCUAUAUUUCCAAAACAUAAAACACAUGAAAUUAUAAAACUUGUGAACAGUCAUCUAGUUCUGGAUUAGAUAUGGGUUAGAUAGGACAGAUAUGGGUUAGAUAUGAUAGAUAUGGGUUAGAUAGGACUGAUAUGGGUUAGAUAUGAUAGAUAUGGGUUAUAUAGGAUAGAUAUGGGAUAGAUAUGAUAUAUAUGGUUUCAAUAUGAUAGAUAUGGGUUAAAUAGGAUAGAUUUUGGUUAGAUAUGAUAUAUGUGGGUUAGAUGCGAUAUAUAUGGGUUCCCACUCAGGAGACUGAAAAGAUUUGGUAUGGGUCCUCAGAUCCUCAAAAGGUUCUACAGCUGCACCACUGAGAGUAUCCUGACUGGUUGCAUCACUGCCUGGUAUGGCAAUUGCUCGGCCUCC
Long non-coding RNA from Oncorhynchus mykiss (rainbow trout), 1803 nucleotides. RefSeq lists it as uncharacterized. The record is from RefSeq and is a predicted model, not a curated record. NCBI's taxonomy places the organism in Eukaryota, Metazoa, Chordata, Actinopteri, Salmoniformes, Salmonidae.